UCCUCCGUGGCGCAAUUGGCUAGCGCGUUCGACUGUUAUAACAGCAGUUAAUCGAGAGGUUGACAGUUCAAGCCUGUCCGGGGGAG
Molecule: non-coding RNA, 86 nt
Organism: Xylaria longipes
Lineage: Eukaryota; Fungi; Ascomycota; Sordariomycetes; Xylariales; Xylariaceae
Source: the annotation of a GenBank genome assembly